GCCGGAGUGGCGAAACUGGCAGACGCACGGGACUCAAAAUCCCGUAUCCUUCGGGAUGUGUGGGUUCGACUCCCACCUCCGGCA
Molecule: transfer RNA, 84 nt
Filed under: Planctomycetota bacterium
Lineage: Bacteria; Pseudomonadati; Planctomycetota
Description: Planctomycetes bacterium (groundwater metagenome) tRNA-Leu
Rfam family: tRNA
About the family: Transfer RNA (tRNA) molecules are approximately 80 nucleotides in length. Their secondary structure includes four short double-helical elements and three loops (D, anti-codon, and T loops). Further hydrogen bonds mediate the characteristic L-shaped molecular structure. tRNAs have two regions of fundamental functional importance: the anti-codon, which is responsible for specific mRNA codon recognition, and the 3' end, to which the tRNAs corresponding amino acid is attached (by aminoacyl-tRNA synthetases). tRNAs cope with the degeneracy of the genetic code in two manners: having more than one tRNA (with a specific anti-codon) for a particular amino acid; and 'wobble' base-pairing, i.e. permitting non-standard base-pairing at the 3rd anti-codon position.
Source: RNAcentral